Molecule: ribosomal RNA, 449 nt
Filed under: uncultured bacterium
Lineage: Bacteria
Description: bacterial SSU rRNA
Rfam family: Bacterial small subunit ribosomal RNA
Source: RNAcentral
AGCGAACGCUGGCGGCAGGCCUAAAACAUGCAAGUCGAACGCCGUAGCAAUACGGAGUGGCAGACGGGUGAGUAACACGUGGGAACAUACCCUUUGGUUCGGAACAACACAGGGAAACUUGUGCUAAUACCGGAUAAGCCCUUACGGGGAAAGAUUUAUCGCCAAAGGAUUGGCCCGCGUCUGAUUAGCUAGUUGGUGGGGUAACGGCCCACCAAGGCUACGAUCAGUAGCUGGUCUGAGAGGANGAUCAGCCACACUGGGACUGAGACACGGCCCAGACUCCUACGGGAGGCAGCAGUUAGGAAUCUUGGACAAUGGGCGCAAGCCUGAUCCAGCCAUGCCGCGUGAGUGAUGAAGGCCUUAGGGUUGUAAAGCUCUUUCAGCGGGAAGAUAAUGACGGUACCCGCAGAAGAAGCCCCGGCUAACUUCGUGCCAGCAGCCGCCGUAAG